UGGGAACGUACCCUUCGGUUCGGAAUAACUCAGGGAAACUUGAGCUAAUACCGGAUAAGCCCUUACGGGGAAAGAUUCAUCGCCUUUGGAUCGGCCCGCGUCUGAUUAGCUAGUUGGCGGGGUAAUGGCCCACCAAGGCGACGACGGGUAGCUGGUCUGGGAGGACGACCAGCCACACUGGAACUGAGAUACGGUCCAGACUCCUACGGGAGGCAG
RNAcentral lists this ribosomal RNA (216 nucleotides) under uncultured bacterium. RNAcentral's name for it is "partial 16S ribosomal RNA". It matches the Rfam family "Bacterial small subunit ribosomal RNA", at positions 118 to 351 of the family's 1533-position model. The record is from RNAcentral.